GAUGAACGCUGGCGGCGUGCCUAAUACAUGCAAGUCGAACGAAACUUCUUUAUCACCGAGUGCUUGCACUCACCGAUAAAGAGUUGAGUGGCGAACGGGUGAGUAACACGUGGGCAACCUGCCCAAAAGAGGGGGAUAACACUUGGAAACAGGUGCUAAUACCGCAUAACCAUAGUUACCGCAUGGUAACUCUGUAAAAGGUGGCUAUACUACCGCUUUUGGAUGGGCCCGCGGCGCAUUAGCUAGUUGGUAGGGUAAAGGCUUACCAAGGCAAUGAUGCGUAGCCGAAUUGAGAGGUUGAUCGGCCACAUUGGGACUGAGACACGGCCCAAACUCCUACGGGAGGCAGCAGUAGGGAAUCUUCCACAAAGGGCGAAAGCCUGAUGGAGCAACGCCGCGUGGGUGAAGAAGGUCUUCGGAUCGUAAAACCCUGUUGUUAGAGAAGAAAGUGCGUGAGAGUAACUGUUCACGUUUCGACGGUAUCUAACCAGAAAGCCACGGCUAACUACGUG
Molecule: ribosomal RNA, 512 nt
Filed under: uncultured bacterium
Lineage: Bacteria
Description: partial 16S ribosomal RNA
Rfam family: Bacterial small subunit ribosomal RNA
Source: RNAcentral